CACGAAUAUAAUUGAAAAAAGAUUAAAAAAGACUACAUGGUAGUGGUAGUGUCCACUACGAAACGUUUUUCUCCCAUAAUUGUUUCGUAGGGGACCGUUUCGUAAGGGACGUAUUCGCAUGCUUUAUUUUUUUCCCACAAUCCCUAUAUUGCAGUAGUAACAAGACUGAUUGUAUUCAUCAAAGCAUUUAUCAAGCUGUACACUGAUAUUUUUUUCAUAAUUUUAAAACCAGAU
RNAcentral lists this long non-coding RNA (234 nucleotides) under Mytilus galloprovincialis (Mediterranean mussel). Lineage: Eukaryota; Metazoa; Mollusca; Bivalvia; Mytilida; Mytilidae. The record is from RNAcentral.